RNAcentral lists this ribosomal RNA (528 nucleotides) under Cladosporium sp. UCD11Syrah. RNAcentral's name for it is "eukaryotic LSU rRNA". The stretch from base 176 to 329 matches the Rfam family "5.8S ribosomal RNA". Lineage: Eukaryota; Fungi; Ascomycota; Dothideomycetes; Cladosporiales; Cladosporiaceae. The record is from RNAcentral.
AACCUGGGAGGGAUCAUUACAAGUGACCCCGGUCUAACCACCGGGAUGUUCAUAACCCUUUGUUGUCCGACUCUGUUGCCUCCGGGGCGACCCUGCCUUCGGGCGGGGGCUCCGGGUGGACACUUCAAACUCUUGCGUAACUUUGCAGUCUGAGUAAACUUAAUUAAUAAAUUAAAACUUUUAACAACGGAUCUCUUGGUUCUGGCAUCGAUGAAGAACGCAGCGAAAUGCGAUAAGUAAUGUGAAUUGCAGAAUUCAGUGAAUCAUCGAAUCUUUGAACGCACAUUGCGCCCCCUGGUAUUCCGGGGGGCAUGCCUGUUCGAGCGUCAUUUCACCACUCAAGCCUCGCUUGGUAUUGGGCAUCGCGGUCCGCCGCGUGCCUCAAAUCGACCGGCUGGGUCUUCUGUCCCCUAAGCGUUGUGGAAACUAUUCGCUAAAGGGUGUUCGGGAGGCUACGCCGUAAAACAACCCCAUUUCUAAGGUUGACCUCGGAUCAGGUAGGGAUACCCGCUGAACUUAAGCAUAUCA